GACGAACGCUGGCGGCGUGCUUAACACAUGCAAGUCGAACGGAAAGGCCCUGCUUUUGUGGGGUGCUCGAGUGGCGAACGGGUGAGUAACACGUGAGUAACCUGCCCUUGACUUUGGGAUAACUUCAGGAAACUGGGGCUAAUACCGGAUAGGAGCUCCUGCUGCAUGGUGGGGGUUGGAAAGUUUCGGCGGUUGGGGAUGGACUCGCGGCUUAUCAGCUUGUUGGUGGGGUAGUGGCUUACCAAGGCUUUGACGGGUAGCCGGCCUGAGAGGGUGACCGGCCACAUUGGGACUGAGAUACGGCCCAGACUCCUACGGGAGGCAGCAGUGGGGAAUAUUGCACAAUGGGCGGAAGCCUGAUGCAGCAACGCCGCGUGCGGGAUGACGGCCUUCGGGUUGUAACCCGCUUUCGCCUGUGACGAAGCGUGAGUGACGGUAAUGGGUAAAGAAGCACCGGCUAACUACGUGCCAGCAGCCGCGGUGAUACGUAGGGUGCGAGCGUUGUCCGGAUUUAUUGGGCGUAAAGGGCUCGUAGGUGGUUGAUCGCGUCGGAAGUGUAAUCUUGGGGCUUAACCCUGAGCGUGCUUUCGAUACGGGUUGACUUGAGGAAGGUAGGGGAGAAUGGAAUUCCUGGUGGAGCGGUGGAAUGCGCAGAUAUCAGGAGGAACACCAGUGGCGAAGGCGGUUCUCUGGGCCUUUCCGGACGCUGAGGAGCGAAAGCGUGGGGAGCGAACAGGCUUAGAUACCCUGGUAGUCCACGCUGUAAACGGUGGGUACUAGGUGUGGGGUCCAUUCCACGGGUUCCGUGCCGUAGCUAACGCUUUAAGUACCCCGCCUGGGGAGUACGGCCGCAAGGCUAAAACUCAAAGGAAUUGACGGGGCCCCGCACAAGCGGCGGAGCAUGCGGAUUAAUUCGAUGCAACGCGUAGAACCUUACCUGGGUUUGACAUGGAUCGGGAGCGCUCAGAGAUGGGUGUGCCUCUUUUGGGGUCGGUUCACAGGUGGUGCAUGGCUGUCGUCAGCUCGUGUCGUGAGAUGUUGGGUUAAGUCCCGCAACGAGCGCAACCCUUGUUCACUGUUGCCAGCACGUUAUGGUGGGGACUCAGUGGAGACCGCCGGGGUCAACUCGGAGGAAGGUGGGGAUGACGUCAAGUCAUCAUGCCCCUUAUGUCCAGGGCUUCACGCAUGCUACAAUGGCUGGUACAGAGAGUGGCGAGCCUGUGAGGGUGAGCGAAUCUCGGAAAGCCGGUCUCAGUUCGGAUUGGGGUCUGCAACUCGACCUCAUGAAGUCGGAGUCGCUAGUAAUCGCAGAUCAGCAACGCUGCGGUGAAUACGUUCCCGGG
This 1343-nucleotide ribosomal RNA is filed under the name uncultured bacterium. RNAcentral describes it as "16S ribosomal RNA". It matches the Rfam family "Bacterial small subunit ribosomal RNA", at positions 28 to 1378 of the family's 1533-position model. The record is from RNAcentral.